UACGUAGGGGGCUAGCGUUGUCCGGAAUCAUUGGGCGUAAAGAGCGUGUAGGCGGCCCGGUAAGUCCGCUGUAAAAGUCAAAGGCUCAACCUUUGAAUGUCAGUGGAUACUGCCGGGCUAGAGUCCGGAAGAGGCGAGUGGAACUCCUGGUGUAGCGGUGGAAUGCGCAGAUAUCAGGAGGAACACCCAUUGCGAAGGCAGCUCGCUGGGACGUUACUGACGCUGAGGUGCGAAAGCGUGGGGAGCAAACAGG
RNAcentral lists this ribosomal RNA (253 nucleotides) under uncultured bacterium. Its description in RNAcentral is "partial 16S ribosomal RNA". It matches the Rfam family "Bacterial small subunit ribosomal RNA", at positions 524 to 776 of the family's 1533-position model. The record is from RNAcentral.